UACGUAGGUGGCAAGCGUUAUCCGGAAUUAUUGGGCGUAAAGCGCGCGUAGGCGGUUUUUUAAGUCUGAUGUGAAAGCCCACGGCUCAACCGUGGAGGGUCAUUGGAAACUGGAAAACUUGAGUGCAGAAGAGGAAAGUGGAAUUCCAUGUGUAGCGGUGAAAUGCGCAGAGAUAUGGAGGAACACCAGUGGCGAAGGCGACUUUCUGGUCUGUAACUGACGCUGAUGUGCGAAAGCGUGGGGAUCAAACAGG
This 253-nucleotide ribosomal RNA is filed under the name Staphylococcus aureus. RNAcentral's name for it is "partial 16S ribosomal RNA". It matches the Rfam family "Bacterial small subunit ribosomal RNA", at positions 524 to 776 of the family's 1533-position model. RNAcentral also lists the same sequence under 4 other names. The record is from RNAcentral. Lineage: Bacteria; Bacillati; Bacillota; Bacilli; Caryophanales; Staphylococcaceae.